AAUUCGAAUGUGGGAGUCAAAGUUGUG
Molecule: non-coding RNA, 27 nt
Filed under: Cricetulus griseus (Chinese hamster)
Lineage: Eukaryota; Metazoa; Chordata; Mammalia; Rodentia; Cricetidae
Source: RNAcentral